CAAUCCUAGGGCUACACUUUCAUCUGGGAUUCUUCCAGCUAGGAAUGAGAGGGUCACACAAGUGGAAAAUCCUGGGCAAGCUGCAAGUGAUGAUGAAAUGCAAUCCUUGCGGAGUGUCUGAUGGUUGAUUAAACAUUUGUGGAAGGCUUGGUUUUUCAGACACAGAACUGUGAUGUUUGGGGACAGCUGGUGUCCUUAGACCAAAGCCAGCCUAUGUUUGUUGCUUCCAUGUAAGCCUAUAGACUGAGCCAGCCUGGAUGGCAGAGAGGCUAAACUUGGAGAGUAGAAGCUUGUUCCUAAUGAGCUGAGAACAGUAGGACUUGUCAAGGCCCAGAUUCGUCCCUGAUGGGAGAGAGGGGCUCACAGGAGGGAAGAAAGCU
Calidris pugnax (ruff) is the source of this 380-nucleotide long non-coding RNA. RefSeq lists it as uncharacterized. The transcript has 4 exons. NCBI's taxonomy places the organism in Eukaryota, Metazoa, Chordata, Aves, Charadriiformes, Scolopacidae. The record is from RefSeq and is a predicted model, not a curated record.